Molecule: ribosomal RNA, 469 nt
Filed under: uncultured bacterium
Lineage: Bacteria
Description: partial 16S ribosomal RNA
Rfam family: Bacterial small subunit ribosomal RNA
Source: RNAcentral
GACGAACGCUGGCGGCGUGCUUAACACAUGCAAGUCGAACGGAAAGGCCCCGCUUGCAGGGUGCUCGAGUGGCGAACGGGUGAGUAACACGUGGGUGAUCUGCCCCUUAUUUUGGGAUAAGCCUGGGAAACUGGGUCUAAUACUGGAUAGGACCAUGCUGUAGGUGGUGUGGUGGAAAGAUUAGUUUCGGUAAGGGAUGAGCUCGCGGCCUAUCAGCUUGUUGGUGGGGUAGUGGCCUACCAAGUCGUCGACGGGUAGCCGGCCUGGGAGGGUGGACGGCGACAUUGUGAGUCUGAUACGGCACAGACUGCUGCGGGAGGGAGCAGUGGGGAAUAUUACACAAUGGGCGGAGGUCUGAUGCAGCGACGCCGCGUGGGGGAUGACGGCCUUCGGGUUGUAGAUGCCUUUCAGCCAGGGCGAAGCGCUUGUGGUGACGGUAGUGGUAGAAGAAGCACCGGCUAACUACGUG